AAGGAAUUUUGCUUAUAGAAUAGUAUAAGCGGCGGACGGGUUUUUAAAAAACGUGGAUAACCUACCUAUAAGACUGGGAUAACUUCUGGAAACCGGAGCUAAUACCGGAUAAUAUUUUGAACCGCAUGGUUCAAAAGUGAAAGACGGUCUUGCUGUCACUUAUAGAUGGAUCCGCGCUGCAUUAGCUAGUUGGUAAGGUAACGGCUUACCAAGGCAACGAUGCAUAGCCGACCUGAGAGGGUGAUCGGCCACACUGGAACUGAGACACGGUCCAGACUCCUACGGGAGGCAGCAGUAGGGAAUCUUCCGCAAUGGGCGAAAGCCUGACGGAGCAACGCCGCGUGAGUGAUGAAGGUCUUCGGAUCGUAAAACUCUGUUAUUAGGGAAGAACAUAUGUGUAAGUAACUGUGCACAUCUUGACGGUACCUAAUCAGAAAGCCACGGCUAACUACGUGCCAGCAGCCGCGGUAAUACGUAGGUGGCAAGCGUUAUCCGGAAUUAUUGGGCGUAAAGCGCGCGUAGGCGGUUUUUUAAGUCUGAUGUGAAAGCCCACGGCUCAACCGUGGAGGGUCAUUGGAAACUGGAAAACUUGAGUGCAGAAGAGGAAAGUGGAAUUCCAUGUGUAGCGGUGAAAUGCGCAGAGAUAUGGAGGAACACCAGUGGCGAAGGCGACUUUCUGGUCUGUAACUGACGCUGAUGUGCGAAAGCGUGGGGAUCAAACAGGAUUAGAUACCCUGGUAGUCCACGCCGUAAACGAUGAGUGCUAAGUGUUAGGGGGUUUCCGCCCCUUAGUGCUGCAGCUAACGCAUUAAGCACUCCGCCUGGGGAGUACGACCGCAAGGUUGAAACUCAAAGGAAUUGACGGGGACCCGCACAAGCGGUGGAGCAUGUGGUUUAAUUCGAAGCAACGCGAAGAACCUUACCAAAUCUUGACAUCCUUUGACAACUCUAGAGAUAGAGCCUUCCCCUUCGGGGGACAAAGUGACAGGUGGUUGCAUGGAUUGUUCGUCAGCUCGUGUCGUGAGAUGUUGGGGUUAGGUCCCGCAACGAGCGCAACCCUUAAGCUUAGUUGCCAUCAUUUAGUUGGGCACUCUAAGUUGACUGCCCGUUGACAACCCGGAGGAAGGGUGGGGAUUGACGUCAAUUCAUCAUGGCCCCUUAUGUAAUUCGGCCUUAACCCACGGUUGCCUAACAAUGUGAACAAUAUACAAAGAGGCACA
RNAcentral lists this ribosomal RNA (1220 nucleotides) under Staphylococcus aureus. Its description in RNAcentral is "bacterial SSU rRNA". It matches the Rfam family "Bacterial small subunit ribosomal RNA", at positions 69 to 1253 of the family's 1533-position model. Lineage: Bacteria; Bacillati; Bacillota; Bacilli; Caryophanales; Staphylococcaceae. The record is from RNAcentral.